UUUCACUUUUGAAAUAAUAUUCAAAUAUUUAUUAUAAUUCCAUCUUAAAUAAAAUCAAAUGUAUAGAUCUUUACAUUGAAAUGAAAAGGAAAGAAAAAAAAAAACAAAAAAAGAAUACCAAAAAUAAAAUGUCAACUUUCCAAAAUAAAGGAACAAACUGUACAAAUUACUAACACAGAAACACUACCAAAAGAAAUAUCAAGGAUGAGGAUGAUCUCAAUAUUCUACAGCCAAUAAAAUGAUAUAAACAGCACAGAACACCUAGUUCUCUCCAUUGAUUCAGUCCCCAGUCCAUGGCUGGAAACAAUGCAAGCAACUGUGAUGGGAAACUCAUCAAAAGUGAAACAAUAACUAUAUACAUAUUUACAUUGAGGGGAAAAGGGGGGGGGGGGGGGGGG
Biomphalaria pfeifferi is the source of this 398-nucleotide non-coding RNA. The record is from the annotation of a GenBank genome assembly. NCBI's taxonomy places the organism in Eukaryota, Metazoa, Mollusca, Gastropoda, Planorbidae.